UGAAGCCAGCUCGGCCGGAGCCGGGAGGGAAAUCUCGAAGCUACAGAGGUAAGAGAGGGUAAAGAGAGGGGUUUCUGGUCGCGUUUUCGAUUCCGCUACCCGGGAGUCCCCGGCAGCCCUUGCGGAACCGGCUGACGUGGCGCGACCGUUACCAGGGUGACGCGGGAGAUUUAAAAGCGGCUGUAACUCGAGACAAGCACUCGGUUCCUCGGAUCAGCUGACUGAAGCCAGCUCGGCCGGAGCCGGGAGGGAAAUCUCGAAGCUACAGAGGUAACAGAGGGUAAAGAGAGGGGUUUCUGGUCGCGUUUUCGAUUCCGCUACCCGGGAGUCCCCGGCAGCCCUUGCGGAACCGGCUGACGUGGCGCGACCGUUACCAGGGUGACGCGGGAGAUUUAAAAGCGGCUGUAACUCGAGACAAGCACUCGGUUCCUCGGAUCAGCUGACUGAAGCCAGCUUGGCCGGAGCCGGGAGGGAAAUCUCGAAGCUACAGAGGUAACAGAGGGUAAAGAGAGGGGUUUCUGGUCGCGUUUUCGAUUCCGCUACCCGGGAGUCCCCGGCAGCCCUUGCGGAACCGGCUGACGUGGCGCGACCGUUACCACGGUGACGGAAGUCACACCCCUCCCCCUUGCUUUGAAAAAGCCUCUGGGAGGGCAGCGGAACGUCGACUGCCCACCAGGCGCUGGAAGGUGAACGUGCUUGUGAGACAGGAAGAAGAGAGGCUCGAUUUCUUCUUUAAGCCAGCAAGUGAACAGAAGAAUACCCGAUGGAGGAUGGCACUGGCAUAGAGACCUCCCUCACAGCGGUUCGAUUGAACAGAUAAUAUUUUAUGGACAUACACAGACAUAACUUUGACUGUGUCAUUCUUUCAUCAGGUUUAUGUUCUUCCUUCAGGAUAAACAAGCCAAUUAUCUGCA
Long non-coding RNA from Columba livia (rock pigeon), 914 nucleotides. RefSeq lists it as uncharacterized. The record is from RefSeq and is a predicted model, not a curated record. NCBI's taxonomy places the organism in Eukaryota, Metazoa, Chordata, Aves, Columbiformes, Columbidae. The transcript has 2 exons.